CAGUCGCCGCGGUAAUACGUAGGGUGCAAGCGUUAAUCGGAAUUACUGGGCGUAAAGCGUGCGCAGGCGGUUCGCUAAGACAGAUGUGAAAUCCCCGGGCUUAACCUGGGAACUGCAUUUGUGACUGGCGGGCUAGAGUAUGGCAGAGGGGGGUGGAAUUCCACGUGUAGCAGUGAAAUGCGUAGAGAUGUGGAGGAAUACCGAUGGCGAAGGCAGCCCCCUGGGCCAAUACUGACGCUCAUGCACGAAAGCGUGGGGAGCAAACAGGAUUAGAGACCCGUGUAGUCCCUGUCUCUUAUAC
Molecule: ribosomal RNA, 301 nt
Filed under: uncultured bacterium
Lineage: Bacteria
Description: partial 16S ribosomal RNA
Rfam family: Bacterial small subunit ribosomal RNA
Source: RNAcentral